GAGUUUGAUCAUGGCUCAGAUUGAACGCUGGCGGCAGGCCUAACACAUGCAAGUCGAGCGGUAGCACAGAGAGCUUGCUCUCGGGUGACGAGCGGCGGACGGGUGAGUAAUGUCUGGGAAACUGCCUGAUGGAGGGGGAUAACUACUGGAAACGGUAGCUAAUACCGCAUAAUGUCGCAAGACCAAAGUGGGGGACCUUCGGGCCUCAUGCCAUCAGAUGUGCCCAGAUGGGAUUAGCUUGUAGGUGGGGUAACGGCUCACCUAGGCGACGAUCCCUAGCUGGUCUGAGAGGAUGACCAGCCACACUGGAACUGAGACACGGUCCAGACUCCUACGGGAGGCAGCAGUGGGGAAUAUUGCACAAUGGGCGCAAGCCUGAUGCAGCCAUGCCGCGUGUGUGAAGAAGGCCUUCGGGUUGUAAAGCACUUUCAGCGGGGAGGAAGGCGGUGAGGUUAAUAACCUCAUCGAUUGACGUUACCCGCAGAAGAAGCACCGGCUAACUCCGUGCCAGCAGCCGCGGUAAUACGGAGGGUGCAAGCGUUAAUCGGAAUUACUGGGCGUAAAGCGCACGCAGGCGGUCUGUCAAGUCGGAUGUGAAAUCCCCGGGCUCAACCUGGGAACUGCAUUCGAAACUGGCAGGCUAGAGUCUUGUAGAGGGGGGUAGAAUUCCAGGUGUAGCGGUGAAAUGCGUAGAGAUCUGGAGGAAUACCGGUGGCGAAGGCGGCCCCCUGGACAAAGACUGACGCUCAGGUGCGAAAGCGUGGGGAGCAAACAGGAUUAGAUACCCUGGUAGUCCACGCCGUAAACGAUGUCGAUUUGGAGGUUGUGCCCUUGAGGCGUGGCUUCCGGAGCUAACGCGUUAAAUCGACCGCCUGGGGAGUACGGCCGCAAGGUUAAAACUCAAAUGAAUUGACGGGGGCCCGCACAAGCGGUGGAGCAUGUGGUUUAAUUCGAUGCAACGCGAAGAACCUUACCUGGUCUUGACAUCCACAGAACUUUCCAGAGAUGGAUUGGUGCCUUCGGGAACUGUGAGACAGGUGCUGCAUGGCUGUCGUCAGCUCGUGUUGUGAAAUGUUGGGUUAAGUCCCGCAACGAGCGCAACCCUUAUCCUUUGUUGCCAGCGGUCCGGCCGGGAACUCAAAGGAGACUGCCAGUGAUAAACUGGAGGAAGGUGGGGAUGACGUCAAGUCAUCAUGGCCCUUACGACCAGGGCUACACACGUGCUACAAUGGCAUAUACAAAGAGAAGCGACCUCGCGAGAGCAAGCGGACCUCAUAAAGUAUGUCGUAGUCCGGAUUGGAGUCUGCAACUCGACUCCAUGAAGUCGGAAUCGCUAGUAAUCGUAGAUCAGAAUGCUACGGUGAAUACGUUCCCGGGCCUUGUACACACCGCCCGUCACACCAUGGGAGUGGGUUGCAAAAGAAGUAGGUAGCUUAACCUUCGGGAGGGCGCUUACCACUUUGUGAUUCAUGACUGGGGUGAAGUCGUAACAAGGUAACCGUAGGGGAACCUGCGGUUGGAUCACC
This 1526-nucleotide ribosomal RNA is filed under the name Klebsiella pneumoniae Kb140. RNAcentral describes it as "bacterial SSU rRNA". It matches the Rfam family "Bacterial small subunit ribosomal RNA". The record is from RNAcentral. Lineage: Bacteria; Pseudomonadati; Pseudomonadota; Gammaproteobacteria; Enterobacterales; Enterobacteriaceae.